RNAcentral lists this transfer RNA (75 nucleotides) under bacterium. RNAcentral describes it as "tRNA-Arg". It matches the Rfam family "tRNA". From Rfam's summary of the family: Transfer RNA (tRNA) molecules are approximately 80 nucleotides in length. RNAcentral also lists the same sequence under 1 other name. The record is from RNAcentral.
GCUCUCGUCGUUCAACGGAUAGGACAUAGCGUUGCGGACGCUAAGAUAGAGGUUCGAUUCCUCUCGAGAGCACCA